Long non-coding RNA from Mya arenaria, 810 nucleotides. RefSeq lists it as uncharacterized. NCBI's taxonomy places the organism in Eukaryota, Metazoa, Mollusca, Bivalvia, Myida, Myidae. The transcript is spliced from 3 exons. The record is from RefSeq and is a predicted model, not a curated record.
AUCACUGUCGGUGUAUUUAUGGAUUUGGAAAUUGGAAUGCGUGAAAGUCCUCAUCAGAGUGAAAGCCAGGCAAGCACAACAAGAUUUGUUCGACUGUGACAAAGACAAACUUGGCAGCUCUCCGCUGGAUCAUAUGAUAAUUUAUUAGUGUACAUUAAACAAUGUCGGACAUGUUUAGUUUUAGCGAUGCCGACCGUUACAACAAUAUAUUACAAAUGCUGAUACGAUGUUGUGUUAAGGUCAUGAAAAGGCUUCUGCCAAUUUUUGUGUCUUCACUUGGCUACAUAUGUGUGGAUCAAUUCCUUUCGAGAGAAAAAGCUCAUAUAUUAAAGAUGCCAUCUGCUUCUUCGAAAAUGAAUCAAGACAUACUAUAUCCGCCAUCUGGUACACGAUCAAAUGUCGAGAAAUGGGACAUGUCAUUACUAAGUUGUGUUUUUACACACGUUCAAAGGAAGCUCUUGUGCUAUGAAAUCGCAGAUCCAAUUGAUCCAGUUCUUAUACACUACAAACUCGAAGUGCUUGCAACAGCAGUUGGUCAACAAUACGAAGACAAACUUUAUCCUAGGUCCGGAAAGGCAACAGAGGUGAACACAUGGAAUAUAUCCUUAUGCUCUUGUCUUUUCUCGGUGUUGUGUCCCAAACCACAAACAUUGUAUGUUAGAUUAGCAGAGUCCUUGAAUGGUUUGAGAGAGAUUAGGAACACCCUUUGUCAUUCAGAAAGGCUAGAGAUGGAACAAAUAGUUUACGAAGAACACAUGCUUGUUUUAAAAGAGUUUAUUUCCUCGGGGCUGAUAUAUAUAGGUGAUACUG